UACGAAGGGGGCUAGCGUUGCUCGGAAUCACUGGGCGUAAAGGGUGCGUAGGCGGCCUAUUAAGUCAGGGGUGAAAGACGGUAGCUUAACUAUCGCAGUGCCUUUGAUACUGAUAGGCUUGAAUGUACUUGAGGUAGGCGGAAUGUGACAAGUAGCGGUGAAAUGCAUAGAUAUGUCACAGAACACCAAUUGCGAAGGCAGCUUACUAAAGUAUGAUUGACGCUGAGGCACGAAAGCGUGGGGAUCAAACAGG
Molecule: ribosomal RNA, 253 nt
Filed under: uncultured bacterium
Lineage: Bacteria
Description: partial 16S ribosomal RNA
Rfam family: Bacterial small subunit ribosomal RNA
Source: RNAcentral